GCAUUCUACGUCCAAUCUCGACUCUAUCUCUCCCCCAUUCUCUCUUUUGAUUUCUAAUUUCAAAUUUCGAAAUGAAAUCAGAUCUGUCUCCCUUGACUUUCUUUUCACUCAAAAUGGGAUGCUUUGCAAUGGCCGUUGCAACCACCAAUGUCGUUGCUGCCAUGAAGUCAAUGCUCUAAACCGACCUACCAUCCUUUGUGAUCUGCGUCCACUUUCAUUAGGCCCACAGCAAUUGUCCAAAUCUUCAAGAACAUGUAUAUAUAUAUUAAGGAUGUGUUUGGUUUGAAAGGAAGAGAGGUUAAUUUAUUUGGCUUUGUUGGAGGGAAAAGAAGGGGAGGAAUUUUUAACGAUUCUUUAUUUGGUUUAGAAGAGAAAGGGAGGAAAGAUAAUAACUAAUUUACUAUUAUAUCUCUAUAUAUUAGUUGAAAAUUUUUAAAAUUUUUUUUUGUAGAAAAUAAUUUUACACCUCAAUUUAAACUACAUGAUUUUUUAAAAAUUCACUCUCAUCCUAUCAUAUUGUCAAUAUGUGAAAAAAAAUUAAACUAAUAAUUAUAAUAAUAACAAGUUUUUAUAAAAAAAUAAAUAACUAAAUAUAUAAUAAAAUAUGAUAGAAUGGAACUUUUUUUAAAAAAAAUUCAAUGAGGUCAUUCAAAAUUUGGAAGUGAAGCACAAUUUGAUAUGAAGAAAAAAUUUUUAGUUAUAGAUACCCUUAAAAUAUUAAAAAUUAAAUAAGAGUAAAAUAGUAAAAAAAAAAUAGCUUACUUUCUAAAAAAACCUUUAAUUUGGGAGGGAGUAAUAUGAAGAAAAGGGAAGAAUUACUUUUUAACUAAACGAGGGGAGGGGAGCAUCUCCCUCACCACUGAAGUACUAUAAUGGUGAAAUUCUAGCGCUAUGUUCGUUGGGCGGAGCAGUCAAGAUCCUUUUUUCCUCACUUCGUUCACUGUGGUUGCAUCAACUAAAUGGUCUUAUUUCAAAAGCCUCUUUUGCCAUUUUCUCUUGGAGUUCCGAAACAGGGGAGGAUUUCCAAGUGAUGGCUAACCAAUUUUGGAGGCAUCUUGGCAGUGACAAAAGGUUCUUUUCUAGAAUUACAUUGGCAAUGAGAUUAAGAGCAAAAGAGAGGAAGAAAAAGCAAAGAAGGGAUUGAUACAACUCUGGGAGAGGAAGAAUUGAGUUACAGAGGGAAAGGAAUCAUUAGAUAGGGAAGUUCCACAAUAAUCAUCCAAACCCUUUUUUCCAAUUAAGCAUCUUUUCUUAAUAUAGCUUCUAUGCCUCUCACUUCUAUACAUAUUUGUAAUUACUUUUACACAUGAUGAGCAUACUCCAUUUUCCCUAUGUGAUCUUCAUUGCUCAUCCCUUCACUAUGUUUCUUUGCAGUAUCCUCAUCUUUGGUCCUUUGCAUUAUAUUUCAGUGCUUGGGUGAUGCCCAUACUUUCUUUCUCUUCUUCUCUUCUAAGUGUUGGGAAAGUAGAACUAUAUACAUCUAUUUUAAUUUUAUUAAUAGGAGAUGCGGAUUGUUCUAAUUAAACUCAUAUUAUACACGAAUUAUUACUUUAAUAUAAUAAAUUUGUUGUGAUAUUAUCAGUGAUAAUUUCUACUAUUUUUGCGGUCAUGAACCAUGGAGGUUGGAGGAAGUGGUUGAGAAGAUGGUAGAUAUGUCAAGAGAAUUAUUCCAACUUGCAAAGCUUCUUCGAUGCCAAUGGUGAAGGGAAAGACUAGAUAGGUGGUGGCUUAUGAUUCACCUUCUAAGUGACAAAGGGCGUGCUUGAUUACAGUUUUCAUAACAAUUUUUUGUUUUGAAAAAAAAAAAGAAAAUCAAAAACACUUGUUCGAAAAUGAAUUUCUUGUUAUGUAUUUUGAAAAAAAACAAGUUGUUUCGAAAAACUAGAAAUCCAAAACGUGUGUUAUUUUUUGUUAUGCAAAACUAGAGAAAAGGCAAAAGAUAUGUUUUCAUUAAUGACAAUGAUGAUAACAAAAUAAAUUUUAUUUUCACUCUUUAUUUCACAACUUUAAAUAUGUUUUUCAAAAUAAUGAUUCAAAAAGAUUUUUUUUAUUUUCUAUUUCCAAAACUUGUUCUAAAAACUAUUUUACAAAAUUGUUUUAAGAAUAUCGAAACAAAAAAACAUAUACAAGCCUAAAGUUAUUAUUCUGGGAGGUCAAACAAGCCUAAAGUUAUCCUAGUAUGGUGGAAAGUUUUGUUUGGUGGUCAAGGCAAAGAGACUGAAAGAAACAAAUGAGAAAUAGGGCACAAACUCACAGCGUAACGUAUCUAAAUGACUUGCUUGUUUUUAAUUAAGGAAUUGAAAUGCAUACUUUUAAUAUUUUUCUCAUUCAUGAUUGUUUUUUUUUUUUCCUACAAAAGCACUCAUUGAAACCUUCCUAUGUUCUGAUCUGUUUCUAUUUCUUCUCCUGUCACCAUCAUAUACUCAUCUUAGCAUGGUCUGUGUUGUUGUUUAUCAUAUAGAAAUGAGGAAAGAAGGCACCAUUGUAAGCAUGUAGCAAAAUAUAGAAUAAGAAGGUAGCGUUGUAUAUACUUAAAUUAAGAGACAUAAAGUAGCAUAGAGUUAAUGGCAAAAAAUGUUGUAUAUCAUCAAGAUGAGGGCUCCAAGCUCAAGAGAAAGCUUUGGUUUCAAUGUAUGAGUGCCUUGAAUUUGGAUGCAGGUAAGAUUUUGUGAAAUUUUUUGCUGUUUGUGGUAAAGUUUUGAUCUCUUCUUUAGACUAUUUUUGAGCAUAUUUAUCUAAUUUUAAAUGCAAAAUUUUGCAAAUUCAGCAGCUUUUACUAUGCUUAUGGUGAGGAUGGUUUUAUAUGGGCUGGAAUUCUUCCUCCCUCUCAUCCCUGGAUUGUGAUGGAAUCAACCUGCAUCAUCACAUUCCAAACCUAAAGAUCCCAUAUCAUUCUUCUUAUUAUUAUCUUUUGAUCUCGUUUGCGACAUAACCAGAAGGAUGCGGUUCCGUUGUGGCUUUGCAAGCACAUGGUUUUGCUUCAGGUCAGCGGGGACAUGGUUCCACACUAGCUCUACAAGUGUAUGCUUUUGCUCUGGCUCCACAAGGGUGUGGUUUUGUGCUGGCUGGAUCCAUCGCUCCAUAAGCGUGUGGAAUCUUCCUGAUUUGAUUCUCCAUGUGUGUUAAUCUUUGAAUGGAUCUCUAAGUGUUCUGAUUCUCAUAUCACUAGCUUUUGGGGAGCCUAAGUCACUGAUUCCAUGGAUGUGCAAAUCCUUGAUUUUGCUGGUGCACAA
This is a long non-coding RNA of Prosopis cineraria, 3233 nucleotides long. RefSeq lists it as uncharacterized. The record is from RefSeq and is a predicted model, not a curated record. Lineage: Eukaryota; Viridiplantae; Streptophyta; Magnoliopsida; Fabales; Fabaceae. The transcript is spliced from 2 exons.